GUCAAAAUGGCGAAGAUGGAGACAUUCGAUAUCGUCUGAAGGAAAUUAUCUUUAAUUUAGAUUGACGUACUAAUACAUUUAAGUGUUAAAAGAUACAAUAAUUCUGUAGGUAUUUCAAGACAUAUAUAACAGUCAUGGCUUUACAUUUUAAUGUCUUAUUUAGUAGAUAAAACUUUAAUCUUCUUAAGUUGCCUUUCGUUGUCCUCAGAGGCUCAGUCUCAGCAUCUCAAAACCUUAUAUUCAAUUUUAUCUUACCCUUUCGGCAAAAAUUAUUUAGAUGGCUGUUUAUACACUUAAAAUAUAUAUUGAGAGCAGACCUGUACAUUCGGAGGAAAAAUUUAAUGCAGGACCUAGAAAAGAUAUAUAUUUAAAAAAAAAAUGGCAUUAAAAUGCAUCUUUAUUAAAGUGAGUGACUAUUUAUCAACAAGGAGAGUCAAGAAGCGACAAGAAGAAUAACUUAGUAACAAGAUAACUAAUAUUUAGCACAUGAAAAUAAAUUUGGGUCAAACUAUCUUAAUAAACGAUUAUUUGAAAAAGAAAAUGAUUUAGAAACGUGCAUUUAAAUGUGUGGUUUUUUUUUAAUAUAGGCAAAUUUUUGUAUAAUUUCACAAGCAUUUGAUUAUGUAAAAGUAUAUACAUCAAAGGUUCAAACCAAAUUAUAAUCUUUAUUUAUUUCACAAAAAAAGUACAUAUAUUAAAAAAAAAAUUUAAAGGAUGGGUAACUAAAUUGUUACAAAAUGUAUGUUCAGAUUGAUACAUUUUGUUCAUAAUGCAGGCACGGAUCCAGAGGGGGGGUUCCGGGGGUUGGAACCCCCCUUUAUUUUGGACGAUCAAUGCAUUUGAAUGGGGACAUGUAAUUGGAACCCCCCCUUUGUCCUGGGUUAGGAACCCCCCCCCCUUUUUUAAAAUGGCUGGAUCCGCCCCUGUAAUGACAUAUUUUAAUUUAAAAUAAUGUAAUAAAAUUUAAUUUGAAAAAAAUCUUUACAGGAGCACUGUAUGUAGUUGUUGUCUGCCAGCGUAAUAAAGUUAUAGCGUAACUUGUGUUAAAAUUGAAUGAUAAAAAGUGUGAAGUGCAGGUAAUUCAGUGUUUCUUGGUCAACAAUAAUUAAAUUAUUGUGAAAAAAUGUUCUACCUUUGGAACUUAGAGCUAAAUUUUGUGAGGCAGUCUUGAAAACUAGAAGAUCCAAAUUAGGAACAUAACACCCUAUCUUCUUUAACAAUUUUCUAUUAGCUUAACCUUAAACCACUUAUUAUCAGUCAGGGGACUUAUUGAAAUAAGUGAUUUUUAGGCAGUUAAGCUGCCUUAUGCGAGCACCCUGGCUUUGUGUUCUACCCUAAAAAUGCUAAAAUAUGUGCCAUUGUUAUUAUCUAGCUGGAUAUUAUGUUAUUUAUAACUUAUUGGGCAGUUUUUUCAUACUUUUAGUUCUGGUUUACAAAAUAUAUGACCAGAAAAACCUUAAAUGAUUGUCGAUUUUCCCAAAAGUUUUGAAGUUGCACAUAGGAAGUAGAGCACAUUAAGAAUCCUAUGUAGUUUAUUAUCACCUGAGCUUUUGGCUACGAUGUCAAAGAACAAAUGUAUGAAAUAUUUAAUCGCCGAAAAUCUCUAAAGACAAGUAGUUUAGAUUUCCCAAAUCGCAGAAGUCGUAGGAAUAUUGUUUGUCGUCGAUACGUAGUCAACUACGUCAGUAGUCUAUUAUAAGAAGUUCAACUGUUCACACUGUUGGCGGCAAUUUUGAAUUUGAAGAUGAAAUUUUCGUAUCUUUUCAAUUUGGACGCAGGGGUUCAAAUUAGCGAUUGUCCUCCCACUUUUGCAGUCGGACUUUCUACUUGGUUACUAGCUACGCCCGACAUGCCCGACGGACCUUGGAAGAAAAUAAAAAUAACUUUGCAAACAUUUUUACCAAAGUCUCCUAAUAGAUCGAUCUUAACUUAUUUUCAUCAUUAUUUUUCAUGACGGAGAUGUUCAUUUUGUUCAACCGCUAGCUUUAGACAGAAAAUCGUUGACAAAUAGUGUUUAAAUACGACUAAAAUCGUAUCUGAUUGACAAAAACGACAUUGUAAACACAAUAAAAUGGCUGCCGUGAAGACAAAAUUUUAACAAUAUCGGAUCCGAUUCCGGAAGCGGAUAAGGGAAAUUCCGGGUUUCUCAUGUAUGAGACUAAAUAACUAAUCAAACGAAAUAUAGGGAAAGUCCCUAGGGUCACCCCACCCCUCAUGUUUUAGAACUUAGAAACAGUUGAGAUCCCAACCCCUUAACUAUAUUUAUUCAUGUAUGGAACAAUAUAUAUGAUAAAAUGAAAUAUGGGGGAGUCCCUGGGGAUCACCCCACCCCUCCUGUUUGAGAACUUGGUUAUGGUUGAGAUCCCUACCCCUAAACCAUAAAACUUCAUGUUUUGGACAAUAUAACAAAUCAAAUGAAAUAUGUAGGGGGAGUCCCUGGGGGUCACCCCUCCCCUCCUAUUUCAGAACUUUAAAAUGGAUUGAUUGAUUAUUGUUGCUUACGUCCAGUGCAAAUAUUUCAUGCAUAUUCAGGACGAGAACAAGUUAACAAUAAAUACAAUAGGUAGGUGUUGUAAUAGAGGCCAUCUAGGAUGAUGGUCGGGAAUUUGGACUGCCACUAGAAAAUGAGGUUAUAUUGGAUAGGGACAGAAAUUUUGCCUUGCAACAGGCCACCUAUACGGACCCCUCAAAGAGUUGUUGCAAGGGUUCUUAACGUGCAAAGAGCGUGGCAAUCUCUUACACGAGGCUCGAUUUAACGUCCCUUCUGACCGGACGUGACUGCGAACUUGAUACAUCCCGCACAGCCAAACGGACGCCCCAUUUCGGCAAGCGUUUUACUGCCGGUCGGGAGAAGACCAAGUGACCAUAUUUCUAUACCCCAGUCACCCUUGGGGAUAAAAUGGAUUGAGAUCCCCACUCUAAACCAUAUAUAUUCAUAUAUGGGACAAUUUAACAAAUCAUAUGAAAUAUAGGUGAAGUUUGUGGGGUCACGCUUCCCCUACUGUUUGAGAAUUUGAAAACGGUCGAGAUCCCCAAUCUUUAACCAUAUAUAUUCAUAUAAAAAAGAAGAUGUGGUAUGAUUGCCAAUGAGACAACUAACCACAAAAAGACCAAAAUGACACAAACAUUAACAACUAUAGGUCAUCCUAUGGCCUUCAACAAUGAGCAAAGUCCGUACCGCAUAGUCAGCUAUAAAAGGGCCCGAUAAGACAAUGUAAAACAAUUUAAACGAGAAAACAAAUAUGUAACACAUAAACAAACGACAACCACUGAAUUACAGGCUCCUGACUUGGGACAGGCACAUACAUAAAUUAUGUGUACAAUUACAUAUGAAUGUUUAAUGUUUGUUCUUUUAAAUCUUUAAAAAAAGCUGAAGCAACAUUGCCACAGUUUUCAUAGUUAUGUUUGCCUUGGUUUUUGGUUAACUGCCUACAGUACUUACAGUGCUUUGAUUAAAUUUUUAAAUCACUUAUUUAAGUAGCAAAUUUGAAGUUUUGUCCCAAAUUGUGAUUUUUUGUAGUUUUAUCAAAAUUUAAAACACAUAGGUUUACAUAUAUAAUAUCUUUUCAUUAGUAAAAUUGAAAAAAUGAACCUUUUGCUUCUUUUAAGUAGCAAGGUGUAUGUAUGCCUUUGAUGCAAUCGUUUAGCAUGUUUAGCUGUAAAUUCUAUUUUAGUUUAAAAAUGCUGUUAUAAAGGCUUUACAUAAUGAACUCAUACUUUCUUACUGUAACCGAUUUUUUCCAGCAGUGGGAGUAUUUUUCCUGUAAAAUUCAUGGUUUUAUCAUGUUUAUCUUACAGAUUAUGUAAUAAUUACUAUUUUUCGCCAUUAAAAUUUCACUGUUCGGGGGUGUUGAAAUUAAUGGGGGUCAUUAGAAUAAUGAUACUUAAAGAAAUGAUUUUUUUAUGGAAAUUGACUCGAGGAAUGAUACUAAACAAGUGAUUUUUAUGUCAUUAUCUGAAAUUCAGUACAAGGUCAUCACUUGACAUGACCGGUCUUCCUAUACAAUUCAGAUAGUUCUGAUAGUGCAUCCAAGAUAUUGUAGACAGUAUUAAACCAUAAUUUAGCAAAAUUUGAAUUUCCCAUUAUCUAGUUUUUAAUAGCAUUGGGCUCCUUUAUUAAAACACUACAUCAGUUUGUCAAAAGUUAAGUUUAAUAAAUAUUUCACUGUACCUUAGUACAUUAUGAAUGAUAUUCUUCCUGUUUACAUUUUUAUCAGGCAAGACAAAGAAAUUAUAUGUGUAUUGAUUAUUAUUUCCUUGGUCAGGAUGUUUUAAUUAACUUCCUCCUUGCAUUUUUAGAAUGGAAAAUAAUUAACAACAAUGAGUGUUUGGAAGAGACUGCAGAGAGUAGGGAAGUCUGCAUCGAAGUUCCAGUUUACUGCCUCAUACCAGGAAUUAGAAGUGGAAUGUACAAAGAAAUGGUAA
Molecule: long non-coding RNA, 4425 nt
Filed under: Mytilus galloprovincialis (Mediterranean mussel)
Lineage: Eukaryota; Metazoa; Mollusca; Bivalvia; Mytilida; Mytilidae
Source: RNAcentral